This 400-nucleotide ribosomal RNA is filed under the name Staphylococcus aureus. RNAcentral describes it as "partial 23S ribosomal RNA". It matches the Rfam family "Bacterial large subunit ribosomal RNA", at positions 258 to 656 of the family's 2925-position model. The record is from RNAcentral. Lineage: Bacteria; Bacillati; Bacillota; Bacilli; Caryophanales; Staphylococcaceae.
ACGGGAAGAGCCCAAACCAACAAGCUUGCUUGUUGGGGUUGUAGGACACUCUAUACGGAGUUACAAAGGACGACAUUAGACGAAUCAUCUGGAAAGAUGAAUCAAAGAAGGUAAUAAUCCUGUAGUCGAAAAUGUUGUCUCUCUUGAGUGGAUCCUGAGUACGACGGAGCACGUGAAAUUCCGUCGGAAUCUGGGAGGACCAUCUCCUAAGGCUAAAUACUCUCUAGUGACCGAUAGUGAACCAGUACCGUGAGGGAAAGGUGAAAAGCACCCCGGAAGGGGAGUGAAAUAGAACCUGAAACCGUGUGCUUACAAGUAGUCAGAGCCCGUUAAUGGGUGAUGGCGUGCCUUUUGUAGAAUGAACCGGCGAGUUACGAUUUGAUGCAAGGUUAAGCAGUAA